UCUUAUUAGUAUAAAUAAUUACUAUUAGCUUCCAACUAAUAAAUCUUUUUGAUAAGAUAA
This 60-nucleotide transfer RNA is filed under the name Pseudophacopteron aewagriini. RNAcentral describes it as "tRNA-Gly". Lineage: Eukaryota; Metazoa; Arthropoda; Insecta; Hemiptera; Phacopteronidae. The record is from RNAcentral.